CGAGAGACAACGGACCACACGGCUGGAGCCCGACUCCGGCUCCCUGGCACGUCAGACUCACAAACACGGUUCUGUGACACGCAACAUACGCGGUGAGAGGGUCGAGUUGUCACCGAAGUCGGGUGACAUGAUGCAGUCACGAUGCGGUAGCCUGUGGAGGACGGUCGCGCUCGUAAUAACUCUGUGCACAAAACCCCGGCCAGGCGCGCUUGAACACCUGCUUUGGCCCAAUGAGAACUGAGCACCAAGCAGCCCUGGAAGAGCCCCCUGCCCCCCCCUCCCCGGCUCCGUGGCCCCUGGGCGCCCCCAGCUCGGGGAGGAGCCCCUGCGGCCCGUCCUCCGCCGAGUCCCGCACACCUCCCGCCGUCAGGACCACCGCAGCCUCGGCGCCCGGCUCGUCCGUUCCAGCAGCAGCGAAACCUUCCGGGCGGUCGAGACCCCGCGUGGCGGAGGCAGCGGGCACCCUGGCCCUCGCGGCUCAGAAGCACAGGUGCACGAGGCAGAGUCCGCGCUCCUGGCGGAGGACCGUGAGCACACCGCCCUGCCCUGCGUGCGGAAGUCUCGAGAAAGCACGUAGGUCUGUCGACUCAGAGAAAGAGGCCGUGACCGUGAGAUGAGCGGACACCCAGGUCCUCGCGAUCUCGUCUCGGCCGGAACCGACCUGGCUGUCACCAGCACACAAGGGGUGAUGUCAAGGCUGGGGACCCGGAGGGAAGCCCAGGGAAACCAUUCUGGAGGCGCUUUGUCUCCUUUGUACUUUUUCAGGGGCCCGGCCGCGUGCGUGUGUCGCCUCCGAAAGGAAACUUGCAUCUGUGGAUUCCACGCGGUCCACGAACCCACAGCCCUGGGCAGCAGCACACAUUUGCCUGAAAUCCCGGCAGGCGCUUCGGCCGCGGGCAGAUUCCCUCCUUCCGUUUUGUGUGUUUUCCAAAGUUCCUAUGGCAGCACAGCGUCCUCUGAGCACCACUUUGCAGGGCCCUGUGUGCAUGCUGUUCCACCCGCUGCAGACUCGACGGCAGGGCGCUCACUGCAGUCCAGUCCCAGUGGUUCCGGUUCCCAUUAGACACUAUUCUGUGACCCAUGCAUCCUUCGCAAGUUCACAUUUUACUUCCCAGCUACAAAAUCACGGACUCGACUUUCAGCCGCUCGGCGGCCGCGGCACAGCGCUCUCGACGGAGGACAGCUCCCCGUGGGUGGCCCGGGGCCGGGCGCUGUCUCAGCUCUGGUCUGAUCCAGACUCGUCUUCGGCCUUGCCCCUCUCUCGGGGUCCCUCAUGGGGGGUUUCUCCUUGUUCCCUGCACCUGUGCUCGCUCGGGACGGCUGUGCCUCCCGUCAGCGCAAUUGUGCGGGAGGCGACUCCCACC
Molecule: long non-coding RNA, 1364 nt
Filed under: Felis catus (domestic cat)
Lineage: Eukaryota; Metazoa; Chordata; Mammalia; Carnivora; Felidae
Description: lncRNA (ENSFCAG00000045045.2)
Source: RNAcentral